AAUAAAUGCAGCUUCUAACUUUCAAAAUGCCUUUGUUUAGUCACAAUCGGCAAUCACUAAAAGAAAAUUACAAAGAGAGAAAACAGCCGUUGGAAGCUACUAUUUCCACUACAAACCCCCAAAUUCUCGAGUCUACAUGAAAAAGGCCAGCGUUGUAUGCUGCAAUAAUGUUAACUAUAACACUUGUAUUCUGAUUUAAACAUAAAAAAGCUAAACCUCCCAUAAGCACAGUGGUGACACAGUUGCAUAUCUGUUUUUCAAACGGUAUGAAGUCUCAGACUACAAUGAAGAAACAUAAACUAAUCUCACAUGGUAGCUUCUACCUCGGGAUCAGUUUCAACAGGCACCGUAGGUGAAUUAUUGCCACCUCUCAAACGUGAAGAUACAUUGUCAAUAGCAGAAUUCAGUUGGCUUAUUUUUGCAUUCAAGGUCUGCCUAGUCUUCUCUAAACCUUCAUCAUAGUAUAUUGGUCGCUUGGCCCUCCGAAACCCAUAUUCAUCUUCAUUUAGCAGGGAUCUUCUAAUCUGAAGCAAUAGCAAACAAACAAAAAUAAAACCAGCACUUGCAACAUAAUAUCAGAGCUGAAGCUUCAGCUCAACAUAAGGGACUAUAUAAGACAGCCAAACAUUCCAUGACUAGGGAGCAACAAAAAACAGCAUCUCCAUUGACAUCAUCCAACAAUAAUAUAAUGGAUUAUGAACAGGUGAUUGGCUUUUAUUUAUGCACAGAAGUUUCAGCAGUGAUAAGUCAUUAAGACAGACUUGUAGACGCCAGGCAAUCGAGUGAAGAUACAGCUAUAAAUGAAGAAAUAUAUAGAAGGCAAAAAAAUAUUAGUAUAACAAUAGUACUUUCAAUUAACUGUUGAAUCAUGUUACAGUAUCACCGUCAUUUCAUUGGCUAACACAAAGGCAAGGAUGAGCACCCAUAUCAAUGGACAACAGAUUAAGCAACAAAAUGGUAUCAAGCAGCAUUUCAACAUCAAUAGUUUUCAAUGUUGUAAGCAUAGCGUAUAGAUGGAAUAGCAUGGAUGUCAGGCUAUUAAACAUUGUAAUAACCUUCAUAGGCUACACAUUUCCUGUUGCAAAAGGAGAAAGUUCAGCAAUUCAUCCAAUUCAUAAACUACUAUGUGUUGUAGAUGCACAAUACAAUUUUUGAGAAGCAUCAAUUAUAAUUCAUCUUCAUGCUUCAGACAUGCAAGACUCAACAAGAUGUCAUGAGCUGGAGACAGUUCUGCAAUUGUGCAGCAAUUAGUAUUUUGUGUUUCCCCUCUACAUGAUGCAUUUAAAAGAAGGAAAUGUUUCCCUUUGCUGUUACAUCUUUUCAAAACCUUUGAAGGAAAAUUUUAAUGCCAAAAACUAAAAAGGGCUAAAGAAAGACAUAUAAUCACCUGAGGAGCAAAAAUAUAAGCUAAAGUUCCAAAUAUGGCGCCUCCUAAAAGAAAACCAGCAACAAAAUCACUGCCACCACCCCUACUACCAUCACUGCACAUAACAGAGGAAAUGAUAAGACAAAUCUCAAAAAAUAGCAUAAGCAAGGUAUGCUCAGAGAGUGAAAAAUUAGCCUGAUAUAAAAAUCCAGAUAAUAUGGGUCAGGUAAACAAUACAAAAACAAAGCUAGAUUAACAAUAUGAAAAGCAUAAGAAACAGUCAUUUAAAAAGAAAAAGGGGUUCAUUCCACACCCGUAACACCAUUCACUUAGGCUACAGGUGAUUAAAAAAAAAAAAAGUCCUUAUGGCUGAUAGAAUAGCAGACCCGUGUUAAAACAACAUUUUUGUCCACAUAAAUGAUGAUACAUUAAAUCAUAGAAGGAAAAAAAAUAGAAAUAGCAGAAAUAAACACGGCACCCACGAAAUAAGAAACAUCUCACAUCCCAAUCAGCAACUGGCAACACAACCUUCCAUCGUAAAUCAUAAUUUACCAAUGAUAAUGGCUUCAGAGAGAUAUUUGAAAUUUAACUUAAGAAGAUGAACUAUCUAAUUUCGAUUCUUAAUUGCUCCCUACUGCAAGAUGUUAAUGAAGCGACCUUCCUAAAGUGGAUGUGUUGAACCUUAGGACUCAUAUAUCCUUAUCCAAUGCUACCAAACUGCCUACUAAAAUUAUUCUCUUCAUACCCAAAUCUGCUUGCUUGCCAAGUCUCACAAACUUAUGCCCUUUUUCCAUCCAAGUAUCAUGCAAUAAAAUCAGAGAAUAAUAGAUCAAAGGGGGAGAAGGGAGGAGGGGAGGCAAAUAUGGACUCUCAGCUGCUUUUUUUUACCCUCAGUUGUAUGUAUUAAUUUGAAUAAAAAAGGAAAACACAAUAAAAGGAUCAAAUGACAAUAAAUACUAUAAAUUCCGGCAAACGAUGACAUGCCUUGUAUCUAAGUUUCCAUGGUUUUCGAUGCUCUUCUCAUAUAAUUUAUUCGGAUGUCCAUUAUAGAGAAAAGAGACCAGAACAACAUACUUGUAUUCUGCACGAACAGACAACUUGCGGUUUCCCACCUGGUUUGACUUCCUUUGAACUGCCAGUUUUGAUUUUUUUGCAAAUGAGUUGGACUUGGAGGACCAAAGUUCAUGCGCCUUCAAUUGAGAACCACCUGAGAUUGACACAGGAGCAAAACUAGUCGCCAUGAUAGAACAGGAGAAAAGAUCUAGACAGAGAAAGUGAAAAGAGAUAUAGAGAGAGAGGAUCUAGUACCAUUCAUGG
RNAcentral lists this unclassified non-coding RNA (2683 nucleotides) under Hevea brasiliensis (rubber tree). Lineage: Eukaryota; Viridiplantae; Streptophyta; Magnoliopsida; Malpighiales; Euphorbiaceae. The record is from RNAcentral.